RNAcentral lists this ribosomal RNA (446 nucleotides) under uncultured bacterium. Its description in RNAcentral is "bacterial SSU rRNA". It matches the Rfam family "Bacterial small subunit ribosomal RNA", at positions 330 to 792 of the family's 1533-position model. The record is from RNAcentral.
UCCAGACUCCUACGGGAGGCAGCAGUGGGGGAUAUUGCACAAUGGGGGAAACCCUGAUGCAGCGACGCCGCGUGUGGGAAGACGGUCCUCUGGAUUGUAAAUCACUGUCCCCAGGGACGAAGAUGACAGUACCUGACCAAGGAGCCCCGGCUAACUACGUGCCAGCAGCCGCGGUAAUACGUAGGGGGCAAGCGUUAUCCGGAUUUACUGGGUGUAAAGGGAGCGUAGACGGUUAUGUAAGUCUGGAGUGAAAGCCCGGGGCCCAACCCCGGGACUGCUUUGGAAACUGUGUAACUGGAGUACAGGAGGGGCAGGCGGAAUUCCUGGUGUAGCGGUGAAAUGCGUAGAUAUCAGGAGGAACACCGGCGGCGAAGGCGGCCUGCUGGACUGAAACUGACGUUGAGGCUCGAAAGCGUGGGGAGCAAACAGGAUUAGAUACCCCAGUA